AUCUUCAUUCCUUCGUCAUUCUGCCUCUCCGUUGCCCUCCAUCCACCAACAGCCAUCGCCCGACAUGCACACUGAGAAGGGGCAAAGAACAAAGCGAGGUGAUCGAAGGUACUCGGGUGAUUUUUUAGCGUCCAUGAGUCAACUGUCUCGGUGAUUUCAAUUGAAUCCUUUUCUGCUGGCUUCGUUGCUGGUCGUCACUGCUACCCGAUUCCCGCCACCAGUUUUGCCGCCGCGGAGAAGAUUCGAGGAAAUCUCUCGACGAAGCUGGUCAUUGGGGCCCCUCAAAAUAUUUGCCUGGACGACACUUGAAAUACCAAAAUUCUCUCCCUCUCCUUAGACGCUCACCAUUCAAGGCUUGUUUGAAGAGCUAUUGCUUAGAUUUAAUUGAUCCUUUAAGUGCAUGUGUUUGUGCCAACAUACUGUACAUCUACACAGCACAAAUUGUGGCCUACUUAUUCAUGAUGUCCUUUCCUUCCUUGGAAUGUUCACUGCCCACUGCCAUUUGGAAUGAUGUUUCAAAGAUAUGAUUUUUGUUUUCCUCCCUCCCUCAUAGAAUUCGCAAAAGCAACCCUCAAGCAAGGCAGCCUCAAAGCUUACUGCAAUAGCUUAAGAGGGUUGCUUUUGCAAAUUUCUAUGGGGGAGGGAAGAUUAGUCGCCAGCACUACUGGUACCCUGCCCUCGAAAUUCAUCAGGACCCUAGCCAUAUGUUCCGCUAGAGUAGGUGCAUGGUUCCAAUGGUGUCUCCUAUAAACCAUUCUGCACUGGAGGUGCAGAGCUCCAUCUAUCUCCUUGUAGCAGGUCUCUCUGCUGUUGACAGGAAUUGUUGUUAUGAACUUGCUGAUUGUAGUUUCCCUAGUAUGAAUGCACCGGAUCUCUCUUC
Molecule: long non-coding RNA, 880 nt
Organism: Eucalyptus grandis
Lineage: Eukaryota; Viridiplantae; Streptophyta; Magnoliopsida; Myrtales; Myrtaceae
Exons: 2
Source: RefSeq, a predicted model, not a curated record